UACGUAGGGGGCUAGCGUUGUCCGGAAUCAUUGGGCGUAAAGAGCGUGUAGGCGGCCCGGUAAGUCCGCUGUAAAAGUCAAAGGCUCAACCUUUGAAUGUCAGUGGAUACUGUCGGGCUAGAGUCCGGAAGAGGCGAGUGGAACUCCUGGUGUAGCGGUGGAAUGCGCAGAUAUCAGGAAGAACACCAACGGCGAAGGCAGCUCGCUGGGACGGUACUGACGCUGAGACGCGAAAGCGUGGGGAGCAAACAGG
RNAcentral lists this ribosomal RNA (253 nucleotides) under uncultured bacterium. RNAcentral describes it as "partial 16S ribosomal RNA". It matches the Rfam family "Bacterial small subunit ribosomal RNA", at positions 524 to 776 of the family's 1533-position model. The record is from RNAcentral.